RNAcentral lists this ribosomal RNA (492 nucleotides) under uncultured bacterium. RNAcentral describes it as "partial 16S ribosomal RNA". It matches the Rfam family "Bacterial small subunit ribosomal RNA", at positions 29 to 507 of the family's 1533-position model. The record is from RNAcentral.
AGUGAACGCUGGCGGUAGGCCUAACACAUGCAAGUCGAACGGCAGCACAGUAAGAGCUUGCUCUUACGGGUGGCGAGUGGCGGGCGGGUGCGGAGUACAUCGGAAUCUACUUUUUCGUGGGGGAUAACGUAGGGACACUUACGCUAAUACCGCAUACGGCCUACGGGUGAAAGCAGGGGAUCUUCGGACCUUGCGCGAUUGAAUGAGCCGAUGUCGGAUUAGCUAGUUGGCGGGGUAAAGGCCCACCAAGGCGACGAUCCGUAGCUGGUCUGAGAGGAUGAUCAGCCACACUGGAACUGAGACACGGUCCAGACUCCUACGGGAGGCAGCAGUGGGGAAUAUUGGACAAUGGGCGCAAGCCUGAUCCAGCCAUACCGCGUGUGUGAAGAAGGCCUUCGGGUUGUAAAGCCCUUUUGUUGGGAAAGAAAAGCAGCAGGUUAAUACCCCGCUGUUCUGACGGUACCCAAAGAAUAAGCACCGGCUAACUUCGUG